AGGACGAACGCUGGCGGCGUGCUUAACACAUGCAAGUCGAGCGGAAAGGCCCUUCGGGGUACUCGAGCGGCGAACGGGUGAGUAAUACGUGAGCAACCUGCCCUUAGCUCUGGGAUAGCUCCGGGAAACCGGAAUUAAUACCGGAUAUGACCUAGGCCGACAUCGGCCGUGGUGGAAAGUUUUUCGGCUAGGGAUGGACUCGCGGCCUAUCAGCUAGUUGGUGGGGUAAUGGCCUACCAAGGCGACGACGGGUAGCCGGCCUGAGAGGGCGACCGGCCACACUGGGACUGAGACACGGCCCAGACUCCUACGGGAGGCAGCAGUGGGGAAUCUUGCGCAAUGGGCGAAAGCCUGACGCAGCGACGCCGCGUGGGGAUGAAGGCCUUCGGGUUGUAAACCCCUUUCAGCAGGGACGAAGCGAAAGUGACGGUACCUGCAGAAGAAGCGCCGGCUAACUACGCGCCAGCAGCCGC
This 473-nucleotide ribosomal RNA is filed under the name uncultured bacterium. RNAcentral describes it as "SSU rRNA". It matches the Rfam family "Bacterial small subunit ribosomal RNA", at positions 26 to 518 of the family's 1533-position model. The record is from RNAcentral.